UGAGUGUGAGUUUGUUAUUUGAGUGGAGGAAAGAUAAUCGUUGAGCAAAUUGUUACAGCCUUUUUCUUUUAAUUCUUAUUUUUCUUUUUCUUUAGAGAGUGGAGCCAUUGGAAAUGAUUUUUCAUCCUUAACCCCCCACGUGGCCAACUGUCACACCUCCCUUUUUAUUUCUUCUCUUUUCGUUCGAUGCCCAACCAGAGAGAGGGAUUCUAGAAGGAGAUAUUU
This 225-nucleotide long non-coding RNA is filed under the name Lathyrus oleraceus (garden pea). Its description in RNAcentral is "Pisum sativum (pea) long non-coding RNA (PSAT_LNC007167)". The record is from RNAcentral. Lineage: Eukaryota; Viridiplantae; Streptophyta; Magnoliopsida; Fabales; Fabaceae.